This 226-nucleotide ribosomal RNA is filed under the name uncultured bacterium. RNAcentral describes it as "partial 16S ribosomal RNA". It matches the Rfam family "Bacterial small subunit ribosomal RNA", at positions 32 to 266 of the family's 1533-position model. The record is from RNAcentral.
AAUCAACGCUGGCGGCGUGCCUAACACAUGCAAGUCGCACGAGAAAGGGAGCAAUCCCUGAGUAAAGUGGCGCACGGGUGAGUAACACGUGAAUCAUCUACCUCCGAGUGGGGUAGUAACUGAGAGAAAUACUUAGCUAAUACCGCAUAACACUUACGAGUCAAAGCAGCAAUGCGCUUGGAGAGGAGUUCGCGGCCGAUUAGUUAGUUGGCGGGGUAAGUGGCCC